CACGUGUAGGGACUUGCACUGCAUAAAGCUCCCCCGCUGACGGAGGAGAAGCUACCAGUCUAUUCAGCAAAGACGUGCCAUCCCCUCUGGCUUUAUCUUGUGUGGAAGGAGGAUUCGUUUCCCAGCAGGACGAUGAGCCCAAACAUGCAGUGAAGUCUGUUUGAAGACCAGAGAGGAGCAGCAGCAGCAGUGCUGACAUGGACUGCUUUACCUCCACCGUCACCAGACUUCAACCUCACUGAACAGACGGUCAACUGUGAUUACUGUAAAAGCUUCCAGUUGGCCUGAAUAUCUUCACUCUCCUCCAGCGUGUCACCUUUUUCUCCUUUGAUUCAUCCAGAUGUGUCACCUUGUACAGACUGAAGGCGUAUAGGAGAGGAUAUCUGGAGCCAAAAUGAGAAAUAGGAAGGCGCCAGUUGUGGGAAUAAACCUGGACGUUUGGUGAUAUAAUUGAAUACCCUCUGUGGUGUCCAGCAUCAUGUCUUUAGGCGCGAAUAUACCACCAGAAUGACCGUAUAAACCCAAACCCCACAGGACAAAUGAGUGAGCAAAUAACACACAACAAACGGAACAUGAUUACAGCAAAGAAAAAGGUGUGCAAAAGCGUUUUUUUUUUUGUUGUUUUUUUAACAGCUGUCCUCUUUCCUCCUCCUUUCCCAGCUCUCCCUCCUCUGCUCCAGGGGAGAGACCAAUGGGAGAGAGUGCUGAGGCGGGAUAAUUGAUAGAUGCACUGGCUAUCCUUAUCGAUCAGGUCUGUAUUGACCCGACCAAAUACAUUGAGAUGGAGUGUGGAAUUCAACACAGAUGCAAAGACGAAUUGUUUUCAUCGUUAAUGCGAUCUUUAAAUGCCUCCACCAACCUCACUCUGCACAAGUCUUUCUUAUUUUGUGCAGCUUUAACAAUGAAGUAUUUAUUUGUACAGUAGAAUGCAUGAUGCUCAGUAAAAUAAAAGACAUGCAAGCUUGGUCUGCAUUCAUGUACGAGGAGUA
Long non-coding RNA from Sebastes umbrosus (honeycomb rockfish), 989 nucleotides. RefSeq lists it as uncharacterized. The transcript has 3 exons. The record is from RefSeq and is a predicted model, not a curated record. Lineage: Eukaryota; Metazoa; Chordata; Actinopteri; Perciformes; Sebastidae.